GACGAACGCUGGCGGCGUGCCUAAUACAUGCAAGUUGAGCGCUGAAGGUUGGUACUUGUACCAACUGGAUGAGCAGCGAACGGGUGAGUAACGCGUGGGGAAUCUGCCUUUGAGCGGGGGACAACAUUUGGAAACGAAUGCUAAUACCGCAUAAAAACUUUAAACACAAGUUUUAAGUUUGAAAGAUGCAAUUGCAUCACUCAAAGAUGAUCCCGCGUUGUAUUAGCUAGUUGGUGAGGUAAAGGCUCACCAAGGCGAUGAUACAUAGCCGACCUGAGAGGGUGAUCGGCCACAUUGGGACUGAGACACGGCCCAAACUCCUACGGGAGGCAGCAGUAGGGAAUCUUCAGCAAUGGACGAAAGUCUGACCGAGCAACGCCGCGUGAGUGAAGAAGGUUGUCGGAUCGUAAAACUCUGUUGGUAGAGAAGAACGUGGGUGAGAGUGGAAAGCUCAUCAAGUGACGGUAACUACCCAGAAAGGGACGGCUAACUACGUG
RNAcentral lists this ribosomal RNA (497 nucleotides) under uncultured bacterium. RNAcentral's name for it is "partial 16S ribosomal RNA". It matches the Rfam family "Bacterial small subunit ribosomal RNA", at positions 28 to 507 of the family's 1533-position model. The record is from RNAcentral.